Non-coding RNA from Monodelphis domestica (gray short-tailed opossum), 18782 nucleotides. The record is from RefSeq and is a predicted model, not a curated record. Lineage: Eukaryota; Metazoa; Chordata; Mammalia; Didelphimorphia; Didelphidae.
GAAGCAAAGAAUUCUAGUCACGAUGAAGUCCUUGCCAGUGGGCUAAUAUCUGACCCAACGUUCUCCGGAAGAAGAGGAUGGGCGAUUCUCGAGGCUGGACAGCUGCUCUCCUCCCAACUCCAUUUUCCAGGGCUCAGGCAGGCAUCCAUCACUGGGCAGAGAUCUAAGUUCCACAUCUCGGUUCAGCCCCAGGCACCUCCCACCUCACUCCGCGCAGCGGAGCCAUCUGUUCCAGUCCUGCAACUUUGGGGGCUCCUUGGGUGAUGCUUGGAUGGAUCUUUUGGCUUUGACUUCUUCUAACCGCCUCUCCAAUGGCGCCUCUCGAUUGUGCCCAAGUUGGGGUGAAAAGCAGCCCAAGAGCAGGACUAAGCUGCCACCCUGCCUGGUGGAAAUUCAGAUUUCAUCCUUCGGCGUCCCUCUUGCCCGUCAUCGUCGCCCUAGAAGAGGCAUCUUUCCGGGAGGGCCAGGCCAGGGCGCCGAACGGGAGCCGCGAAUCUGUUCAGAACAAGCGACUCCUGCUCACGCUGAAGAUGGUUGUACUAACCUAACCCUCUGUCUCCAAUUAAGAGGUAAUAGAGAAAAAUCAGCGCAAGACACUCCUGGUUCUCCAACUCUCGGCUCUUGGCAUUGCUGGUUCCCAUGGAAGCAGCAUAGAAUAGCAGACAGAGGAGGAGCCUCGACGCCACCUGCGGCAAGCGAUGAGGGUGGGAGAUGGCCCGGAGGAGCCAACAGACACCGCUGCCUCGCGCACUCAAGAGGAGGUGCCCCCUCUCUAGGGCUAUCAGAGAGCGCCGGAGGUGGGCAGCCCCAAGCCGCGGCUCUGACUAUUGAAGAAGAGGACCAUCAUGGAGAGAAAUGGCGCAGAGAGAAAGCCCUGGGGAUGUUCCCAGGGCUUUCCCUUUUCAUUUCCUCUGUGUAAACCAAAGGUUCCUUCGGCAGUCCUGGAACAGCGUGCUUGCGAGGGGGGGCUUGAAGUCAGAAGACCCGGUUCCAGCGGCACCUCGGCCUCUUCCCAGCUGUCCAGUCGCCUCCCGGGCCUCCGUCCCCGCUCAGUGAGAUGGAGGUGUUGGACAGAAUGCCCUUUGAAGCACCCCUCUCCGUCGUCCAGCCUCCAGCCUCUGCGUGUGGCCGGAGCCUUCGUUAGCCUCCCCUCGGAGCGUGUUGCAGGUCCUCCGGCAGCCAGCAGCCAUCGUGGGCUUUCACGGAAGUGUUAUCAAUUUUUAAAGAUCUCUCUAGGAGACUGUGAAGAUGGCGGGGAACCUUGGAAAUGGUCCUGGGCUAAUCAGAUUGAGGCCAAGGAGUGGCACAAUGGAUGGAGCUUCUCCAGAAUCAGGAAGACUUGAAUUUAAAUUAUGCCACAUGACCUCUGCCAAGGCACUUAACCGCUUGGUGGUCUCAGUUUCCUCAUCUGUAAAAUGGCCAUCAUAAUAGCUCACACUCGGGGUUAGUGAGGGGAUCACAGGAGUUCACCUAGGCAAAGCACUUUGCAAAUAUUCAUGGACUAUGUCGAUGCUAUUAUUAUGAUCAUCAUUAUUGUUAUCGUCUCUGUACAUCUGCGCCAACAUUUUGCUCUGUCCCCAACUGAACUCAACAAGCAUUAUUUAGUGCCUGCUAUUUCCCUAGCACCAUGCUAGGAGCUGAUGAAACAAAGGAAUAGACGAGCUUACAUUCUGCUGGGGGAGAUACAACAUUUACACAGAAUGGCAAAUACAAGAGAUAUAAAAUAAAUUAAAAGCAAUUUUCAAGGACGGGAUACUAGCAACUAGAGAAAUCAAGAACAGCCUUUGCUUUGGUGUUAGCUCUGGUGUUGAGCUUUGGAGAAAACUAGAAAUCUCUUUUAUGGGCUCGGACUAGCUGGCCUCCAGCUCUAAAUCUGUCUCUGGUGACUCCACGUCCUUCUCUUCCCUCAAGAACUCAGAGGGAGAGGCAAUGAGGGAGGGCAUGCCAGAGAUGACAGACACCCUAUGGAAAGGACUGGAGGCUGGAGAUGGAAACCACAAAUAGAGCAAUGUGACUGGAAAAUAGAAGAAGGAAUGAAUGCCUAAUCAGGGUGAAAAAGUAAACUGCAGUCCAAUGGUAAGGGAUUUUAACUGCUGAACUGAACUCUUAUUUUAUCUAAGAUAAGCUGCUGGGUCUUUUCAGUAUUGCCUUCACCAUCCAUCGCAGUUAGUCGCUUUCCCUGCACUCGCCACAUUUUGUGUUGACUUGCAUUCCUGCACCAGGCUCCCCAGGCUCCUGACAGAUAAGGAACCAUUUCCGGAGCCCACACUGGGGAGACAAUGCACAUGGAAGUAUGUGUGUUUGAUUUAAAUAGCCCCUACUGCUGAGGGUCCCAGAUGAGCCACCAACGCGUCACCCUCCUGGCAGAGGCUGAUGCAUGUACAAGGACCCACGCAUACUUUGGGUUUUUCCCGCUCAUUUCUCUUGGUGUAAAUCCCUGGGACACUCCACUGCAGACAAUCCCCAAAGCUGACAUUGGACCAUUAAUAACUCCUUGGGUAGAGCCAUUGGGGCAGCUCAGAGUCUAACUGGAAGGCUAUUUAACACAGAUCUUCCCAUUUUUCUUCGGAGGUCUUGAUAUCCCCAAGCACAAGGAGACCACCACCCCACUUCUCCAAUAAUUCAGUUCACGUUUGUUUCAGACUAUUAAAAUUUAAAAAGAGAGAAAACAGAAACUGUGAAUCAGUAGUAACAGUUUAAGCCAAAGAUUCAUGUUCCACAGAAUUCCCAGACCUAAGAAUGAGGGUCUCUUCCAUGACAGUUCCCAGAAAAUGGCUUUGUGAGUUAUUCACAUCUAGUCCCUGCUGUUCAUCCCCACCCCGAUGCUUCCUCUUUCAUGAGAUAUCCGGGGAGAAAACCUCAAGACCUGUCGUGCAAGAGGGGGCCUCAAAGGAUGCCCCCAUCACAGCUUGCAUGAUUCUGUGCAUACGGGUGGCUUCCUCUUAUUGGGACUCUCCUAGGUAGCCCCCCGGGCAGGGUCUCCCACUGUUAGAUUUAGAAGAGUCUCCACAGCCAAUCCAGGUUCAUACCUGGUGAGCACAAAUCGAGAUGAUGUUCCUCCACUCUUUUUUGUCUUUAUAUCUUCAACAUUCCUAAUUCUGUCAACUGAGGCUCCAAUCUAGGCAUGAAUCAGAGACCCUCAUCAUUCUGCCCACCAUCUUUGGAUGCUUUCCGGCUUACCAAUGGCCUUUCUUAAAACGAAGGGCCCAAACUAGACGAGAGCCGAGCACCGUGAGGAGAUGGUCACCUCCUUAUUCUUGUGGGCAAUCCUGCCCCCUUUAAGCCCGGAGCAGUUUGGAUGUGUUACAUCUGGAGUCACCUGGGUUAUUUUUGGCUUCUGUACUACACUGUUGACUCCUUUUGAGCUUGCCAGGUUCCAUUAAAACCCUUUGAUGUUUUUCAGAUAAACUGCCAUCAUUUCUGAUCCCUAGUAUAAGACUUUAUAUUUGUCUUAUUAAAUUUCAUGUUAUUGGAUCGAGCCCAAUAUUUGAGUCUCUCAGGAACCUUUUGGAUCCUGCCUCUGAGUGUGUUAGCUUUGUGGCAUCAAUAGAUUUAAUGAGGAUAACAGCUAGCCUCUACCCAAGAAAAUGAAAAUAGUGUGAAAAGAAAGACCUGGAUCCUUGGGGCACUCCAUUGAAGACCACCUGCAAAGCUGUCGUUGAACCAUUAAUGGAAACUCCUUUGGUCUGGUGAUCCAACCUGCUCUAUAUUCUUCUGUAACUAUCCCUUACCUUCUGUCCUAGUAACAACUCUUUUUUUUUCUUUUUAGAAGAUAGUUGAUUUUCCCAAUUGCAUAUAAUAAUUUUUACCAAAUUUUACCAGACAUUAUAAGAUCUGAAUUGUCUCCUGCCCUCCAUUCUGUAAAAAUGGAGAUUUGAACCCUGGACUUCAAUCCCCAGAAGUCCUUGCUCUAAUUCCCAAGAUGCCCUCUAAUCUCCCUGAAUCGCCCUGAGUGCAAGGUCAAAAUUUCUAUUUAAACUGGCUGUAAAGCCCAUUGAGCUCUCUUCCUGCUUCUGCUUCCAAAGUCUCUCUCUUGGCUUCUGCGUCUGGGCUCACGUGGCUCUACCAGGCAGGAUGUAGAGUGAGUGAUUGUGAAGGGGCUCUCUGGGCCUAGACACGUGCUUUUCUUAUUUUAUUUUGUAUUUUUUUUUAUUUCUUAAUAAAACUUCAUGAAGAUAUAAUACUUCUAGCAGAGAAACUAAUUUUAACUGCUAUAAUUCCCUCCCCGUCUUAGUAAUAACUCUAAGAAGGGCAAGGGCCAGGCAAACAAGAUUAAGUGAUUUCCCCAGGGUUACAUGGCCAGGAAGUGCUUGAGGUUAGAUUUGAACCCCAAACCUGACUCCUAACCUGGUGCUCUCUCCACUGUGCCACCUCUCUGUCCCCCUUGAUUACUAUUACUGGAGUACUAUUCAGCUCCUAGCUCUCCAAAUUCUUCCAUAAGAAAAAUAAGAGAGACUUGAGAAUGUUUUUCUACGAUCUGAGUAACCCAUAUCAGCAACAUUGCCAUGGUUUACUGGGUCGGAGCCUUUGUUCCAAAAGGAUAUUGAGUUAGUCCAGUAUGACUUGGACUUAGGGAAUCUAUGCUGGGUCUUCCUGAUCACCACCUCCUUUGUGAGAUGGUCAUUAACCGUCACUUUAGGAGCUCACUUCAGCAAAGCAUACAUUAAAAGUGGACCAAGAGGCAAGAUUCACAGGGCUGCAGCCCCAGGACGACAUGCAAAUUCAUGAAACUUUCCAUAGUUUAAAAUGAGGGUUCCUGAGUGCAAUGGAAUCUUAUUGCCCUCAGAUGAAAUGACAAAAGGGAUAGCUAUAUGCAGGGAAACCUGGAAAGACUCCAAGAAAGUGCUGCUGAGAAUAGAACCAAGAGAACAAUGCGUCCAGUGACUACAGUUCUGCAAAGACAAAACACCAGGGAUGCCUCGAGAACCAUGACCAAUGAGUGAUCAAGGAUGAUGGACUACUCUGAGGAUGGAGAACUUAGAGAAGCUUUGGAAAGUCCUAUGAAUGGAUGCAAAGUGAAAUAAAUAGAACGUGUAGAACUCCAAACAGGAUAAUCCCAAGUGUGUAAAGGAAAAUCAUAUGGAAAGGAGAAUCACAUUCUCAUAAUGCGUCUCUGCGACUAUUGAACAGGGAGGAAGACUUCUGAAGGCUUAAGGAUAAAGAACAGUGGAAAAGCCAUGCCUGAGUCAAGAAGGAGAGAAAAUAUCAUCUAUAAUGGACUAGUUCUGUUGACAUCUACCUGAAAGUCUUCAGAAGGAGAAAAAAGGAUCUGGAUUUUUUUACAAGAAAAAUGAGAAGCAAACCUGUGUGAGAGUCUCUGGCAGAGGGAUAGUAAAGGCUUAGAAAACCUGUCCAAUUUAGGAGAUGGACUAAUUAGGUGUUCAUUUGAAAUAUUUUAUGGGAGGGGACAGGACUGUUCAUUGAACAGGGAAAAAGCCAUGGAGUUCUACUUUUUGGAAUUCCUGUAGUGCCUGGAACUAGUCACAGCCCUGCAAAUAUGGUCUGAGCCUAGCAGAGAACAGCCAGAGGAUCAGCUCCCUUAUUAUUGAUAUUCUAUCUUUCUCAAUGCAGCCCAAGAUCUCAUUAGGAUCGUUGGCAGCAUCCCGUCCUCAGCCCUGUCUAAUUCAAUAUUUCUCUCAAUGAGUCAGGUAAAAGCAUCCUUCUCCAAUGGGCUGAUGACACAAGGCUGGGAGGGAUAGAAGCCAAUAUUUGAUGACAGACUCAGGCUUCAGAGUGAUCUCUUCGUCCCAGAAUGAUAGACCAAAGCAAGAAGAUGACCGGUGAGGAUAAUGACUGUGGCCAUAUUAAACAAGGAUGUAGGUAGGGCAAGGCCUAUAUUUAGGGCAGGAGAGAGAAAAAUCAAUUCCUUAAGUACAGAUUGGGAGAGGCCUGUCUUAAUGGCAUUUCAUGUGAAAGAAGACCCGAGGGCUUUAGCUGACCACAGCUCGAUAUGAGCCCACAAUGUGUGGUGGCUGCUGAAAAAUCAGAUGCGAUUUCAAGGUACAUUACUCAGGGGAUCUGGGCUCUUGUCAAUGUGGGGAGCUCCCCACCCUCCCAAUAUUAAUCCUGACCAUUGGAGGCAUCUGAUAGAGUCCUGGGUCUGGGUCAGAAAGACCUCUAAUACUCAUUAAUCCACUUCACAGAGACGAAAGGGCACCCAAUGGCUCUGGAAUUCUUGGUUCUGUUGCUAAUGGGGUAAGGAUUCAUUAAAAUAUCAUUCAUGGACCUUCUUGGGACCUCUCAGGGCAGUCUGGAGAGCUCUCCCCUGCUCUGGGGUCAGUGGGAUGCAGGUUGGAUGGUGGGGUUUAAGGAUGCCCCAGGACAGAUCCAGGCAGCCCCCCACCUCUUACUCUAUCUCCCUCGCCUACCUGUUUCUGCUCCAGUGGCUCUGGCUUACUUCCCAUUCCUUUUUCUGUCUCUAAAUUUAGCUCGCUGCUCCUGAUGGCUCCAGGAUGCCAAGGAAUUCCCCCCCUGCCCCCUUUUUCUAAGAAGAAAUUCCCAAUCUAGGUAGGCUCCCCUAAAUUCUGAAGUUGUGAAGCUAUUGCCAAAGUUCUCCCUCAUUCCUUAGCUUCAGCAAAGGGGGCUCUUGAAGUGACACUGGGAAGGUCCCAGUAAGGAGCAAUUUGUCCCUGUUAUACUACCUAAGUACUAGGAUGUAGAGCAAUGGAAGGGGGGCUUCGUAGAGUUCCCAGCUCAUAGUAGCUGCUUAAUAAGUGUUUGUUGAUUGACCAGGGAAGGGGAUAAGCAUUUAUUGAGCACCUGUGUGCAAGACGCUGUGAAAAAAACUUUACAAGUAUUAUCUCAUUUGAUCCUCGCAACCACCCUUGGGUGCCCUAUUUUACAGCUGAGGAAAUUGAGGAAGACAGACACUAAGGGAUUUGCCUGGGGUCCCACAGCUAGGAUAUGUCUGAGGCCAGAUUUGGACUCAGCCAGCAAGUCCGGUGGUGCUCCUUAGCUAUGUGGCUUUGGUCACUCCACCUCCCCAAUUUUGGACUUGUUUCUCCAUCUCUAAAAGGAGGGGUUGGUUGUUCUAGUGCCUUCCAGCAUGGGACCUCCAGUCAUCUCUGGGCUUCUUACAGGCUCACAUCUUCCUUACCCUGGUUUGAAACUCCCAUUUCCAAAGGCCUCCCAGGCCAGCAUGAAACCAGAAAGUGGGCCGCCAUUCUCUUGGCAUCCUCCCACCCGAAAGAACGAGGGCAGGGGACUGGCCUCUUUGGCCUCGCUCUUCAGUACGUUGCCAGGCCCAUCAGGAGGCCCCUCUGAGGGGCUCUUGCUCCCCAUCAGCCAGAGCUGGAGAUCCCUACAAACGGUCAGCAGUGGCCAGAGUUGGAACUCUCCCUACUCUCUAGCCCUGAUCCAUUCUCAAGGGGACUAAACCCAGGAGUCCUGGAGGAGAGGCGCAUGCACUAUCUGUGGACUACUGGGGCAGAUUUGGAGAUGAUGGCCUGGAGCAAGUGCAUUUAGUUGCAGUGAAGGUCCAGCUCCUUCUUCAUGGGGUGGAGUGACUUUGGCAUCAGCCCUGCUUCUGCUCUUCUCCCCACGCCACAGACGUCUUCCUGGGAAGAAUCUGGAUGGCAGUACCUGAAUUACUUGCACUAACAGCCUCCAACAAAUUGCUCUGGCCCUUGGAUGGAAGGGGCCCGGCGUCCUCAGGUCCAGGAGUCCAGGGCUGCCCCUUGUCGUCCCUCGCCUUCUCCCUGGCUCUCCGUCCCUUUGCCUCCCUCCUCCUUUCUCUUUACUUGCUAAGUGAAUUUUCUUGGGGAGACUUGGGGCACCGUGACACCUGCCAGAAGGAGCAGAAAUCAUCUGCCGCAGCAGAGAAGUAUUACCUUGUGGUACUGGCAGGACUGAAAUGCUGGCUCGUGCCCAGGCUAUCAGACAGAAAUAGAGUUAGAAUAAUCAUCUGUUGGGGAGUGGCUUCUCUCCAAAUGGAAACAAAUGAGGAAUAAACAGAGUCAGAAGAAAUGAGGAAGAGUUUCUGUUGAACAGUAGAUCAGGGCCACUGGACUUGGUGGCAGAGAGACCUGGGUUCAAAUCCUGCCUCUAUGUGACCUUGGGCAAAUCAUUUAAUCUUUGUGUCUCGGGAGCAGCUGGGUAGCUCAGUGGAUGGAGAGUCAGGCCAAGAGACAGGAGCUCCUGGAUUCCCUCACCCAGAUUUCCCAGCUGGGUGACCCUGGGCAAGUCACUUGACCCCCAUUGCCUAGCCCUGAUCACUCUUCUGCCUUGGAACCAGUACAUAGUAUUGAUUCUAAGGCAGAGGGUAGGGGUUAUAAAAAAAAUCAUUGUGUCUCCAUUUUCCUCUCUGUAAAAUAGUGAUAGCAACAGUACAUGCCUCAUAAGUUUGCUGUGAGGAUAAAGAGUUAAUGAACAUAAAGCAUUUUGCAAACAACUUUAUACAACUGUUAUCACAGACUCCCCGGAUGUCCAGGAUUUGAAGGCAUUUCCAGGGAUCAUUAACUUAAACCCCCUACCUCCAGACAGGAUUGAGCUUAAAUGAUCUUAGACAGUGGUUGCCUCUAUUCUAUUUUUAACAGCCUCUAGGGAGAAAAAUGGGAAAAUGCAUUUUUCAGCUUCCCUUGGUAACUUGUUCCAGUCUAAUAACAGUGAUCGGGGAAGGGGGAAGAUUGACAGUAUUAUUAACAAUUAAUUUGCAUAUUCAAAGAACUGGACAUUUCUGGAACUGCGCUUUCCCCAGAAUCUUUUCUACCCCAGACUGCUCUUUCAACAAUUGUUUAGCAAGGAAGGAAUAGAGCUGCUCCUCACAGCAGAUGAGAUGAUGGAAAUGAGCAAUUUAAAGAUGCUUAAGUCUUAGUGUGCUUCUGACUUCUCUAUCAAAGAGAGUGAUCCUUGGACUGGAAAGGAAAGCACCAAAAUGGUUAGUAGGGAUCUUAUCCUUCCAAGGGCUCAGGAUAUGGUGCCAGAGCCCCCAGCUGCCCUCCAGGAGUCCAGGAAGUCAGAAAUAGAUUACCUACAUUUUCAGGCGCAAGAUUGCUGAGCUUUGAAAAACCACAGGGAAUGGGAGAGAUAUCAAAGGACUGCAGAUGGGGAACACUUUGAUUUUUGACAAGGAGGAAAGACUGUAACCUAAAAACUAUAGGCAAGUGAGCUGAACUUCAAUUUCUGUCAAAGUUCUAGAGGCAUAAUUGAAGGGAUUAUUGGUAAACUUUUAUUUCAAGGUGGGGUGUUCGAUAAGGCAAUCAGUCAUCUCACUUCACUCAAAGGAAUUAAGAAAGCACUCCACCCCUGCUCUCUUUAUUAGGUAAGAACUCCUCUAUAGGAAUCAAUUAAAGAGAUGAGCUAGGUGUGAGCAAAACCUAGUCAUCUGUAUUGAAUCAACAGAUCAAUCAAAGAUAUUAGCCCAGGCAAGAAGCCAUUGGGUAAAAUGGAGAAUGUUGUAUAGCUCUCCUGUUUGGGAUUGGCUCAAGAAUUUGGUCACAUCAUAUGGGUUUUCUUAUGAAAUCGCAGACCAGUUCAGAACCCAAGAGAUUCUCAGAGUGAACUAGGAGAGAGCAGUUCCAUUCAAAUCCCUGAGAAGAAUCAUUUAGGGUCCAGGGGAGAAGAUUGAAGAGAUUCAAGUCCCUCUCUCCCUCCACCCCCUCAUCAGAGGAGGUCCUGGUGAACUUCGAAGGUCAGAGGAUUUGGACUUAGCAGAGUAGUAGGGAGUUGGGGGACUUAGCAGGGUAGUAGGGAGUUGGGGGACUUAGCAGAGUAGUAGGGAGUUGGGGGACUUAGCAGAGUAGUAGAGAGUUGGGGGACUUAGCAGAGUAGUAGGGAGUUGGGGUAUAAUCUUCAUCAGGAGGCAAAGACAAAGUAGAUACAUAAAAGAAAGGCAGCUCCUUCACUCUAUGAGGAGCCCAGUAAGGGGAAAAAAUGGCUCCAUCCCCAAAUAUUUCUGAGCACCCCAUGAAAGGGGUAGAAAGACUUUUAGUACUACUUUACUCCUUUGCCAUGUGUAUUCCCUAAUGGAGAGCCCACUCUCUUCUAGGCUCUGUGUGUGUUGGAGGGGGACUAUAAUAUCAGAGACUUUGGGGAGAAUGCUUUAUGCCAACUGCUUUUACUAUGUCACCUUGGGAAAUGCCCUUUUUUUGAAAGCUAGUUAAGUCCCACUGACUCAUAGAUAUAAAAUAAUAAUUCUGGAGGGAGGGUUGGAGUAUAGAUAUAGUUGAGUAUGAGAAUGAUACUCCCAUAGCUCCCUCAACAUUCUCUGGGACCCAACUUGGUGGUCCCAGUGGGUUGGAAGAGUAUUGCUCGAGAACAGGCUACAUUUAUUUUUUUUUUAAUUUAUUUAAUUAGAUGAUUUAGAAUAUUUUCCCAUGGUUACAAGACUCGUUCUUUCCCUCCCCUCCCCUCACCCCCUUCCUGUAUCUGACUUGUAAUUCCAGUGGGUUUAACAUGUGUCAUUGAUCAAGACCUAUUUCCAUAUUAUUAAUAUUUGCACUAGGGUGUACAUUUUGAAACACAAGUGAUGUGACCCCAAAGAGCUAUCAUAGCUUCAUCAGGAACAGAUCGUGCCACACCAGUCUUAUUUCCUUUUAUUUUUUCUUUUUUUGGACAGGAUUCUUGAAAUGGUAGGUUAAGGGAGCACUGCUGAAAUAAUUAUUUGUCUAGAUUUUAGCAAACCACUUGACAAAAUAUAUCAGUCUUGUGGACAGGAUGAAAGGAUUUGGGCUUGGUGUUAGUACAUUUGGGUAGAAUUGAAACCAGGUGAAUGGCUAAGCUCAAAGAAUGUUCAUUAAUGAGGAUUUCAUGUCACCUUUAAGGGAGGCCCCUAGUGGAGUGACCUGGGGGCCUGUGUUUGAUUCUGGCCUGCUUAACAUUUCUUUCGGAGAUGUAGAUGAAAGAAUGGCAUACUUAUGGAAUUUGCUGCUGACACAUAGUUGGGAGGGAUGGCUAACAUGUUAGACAACAGAUUCAAGAUAAAGGAGUAUUUUCAGACAUCUAACUUCAGCAGAGUCAAGGUAUCUUAGCACCUUCCAACAGCUGCUUGAAUUCCUUCAAGGGGCAAGACAGAGUCUAACUAUUUGACAACCCAAUUGGACUCUGAAUUUUUCUUCUCUUCCUGCCCCUCCAAAGGGAUUUGAACCAUAUCUGCAUCUGGGUCUCCUCUGCCUUUUCUCUGAAGGCUAGGAGACGGACUCUUCUUGGGGCUCCUACUGCUUUCUACUCUUUGUGAGAGUCACUGACUUCUUCUCGCCUAUCCUCUGCCUUCCCCUCACCUGCUUGACUCUACUUUCCUUUGAAGUCAUCCAGAAUUCAUCUUGGUUUUCUGAUUUAGUUUAUACAGAUGGAUUAGCUGAGCAUGGGCAGUGAUCAUAUUAACCCCAUCCCUGUUCAUUAAACUCAUGACCAAGAAGAUCCUUUUGUAGAUCCAGGGUGAGUUAACAAAUUGUAUGGCUUCUAGCUUCUCCUCUAUUCAAUUGAGUUGAUCCCAUUUUUCUUUUCCUGUUUCUAGUAGUGUGACCUUCCUAUGUAAAUGUUAAUGUAUUGCAAAACUUUUAAAACUAUAUUAAUAAAAACCCUAGAUGUCUCUGGCUUACAUUAUAGGACUGAAAUGUAACAAAAAAAAAAAAAGGAGUGUAACACUUUCAUUAAAAGAAAAAAGAAGCAUCUUUGCAAGUGCAAAAUGGAAGAAUAUGGCCAGAAGUCAUUUGGGGAAAAAUCCCAGGUUUCAGUAAGCUAAGAAUUCUAUUUGGGUCAACAGUGGGACCAUGGAGAUAACUCUGCAAGUCCAAUGUCUUGGUUGGUAGGACCAAGGAGCAUCAGAUUCAGGAUGUGGGAGAUGCUAUUUCUAGAUGGGUAUCUGGAAUGAUAUUUAGAACAUUGCGCACAGUUCUUACCCCACAUUUUAGGGAGAACAUAAUAAUCUAGUGAGCAUUCAAAGGAAGGUAAUCAUGAUGGUGAAGGACUUCAUGGCUGUAUUUUAUAAGGAUUAGUUGAAGGGACUUAGGGAGAUUUAGUCUGGAGAAGCAAAGACUUGGGGAGGGGACGAAAGCUGUCUUUAAAUAUUUGAAAGGAGGUCUUGAAGAAGGAUUAGGUCUGGUCUUGGUCUCAUCAGGUAGAACUAGGAACAAUAAUUUGCAGAGAUUAAUUAGGUUCAAUACAAAGCAACACUUUGUCAUUCUGUUGAAAGGUGUAGAAUGAUGCUGUAAAAAUUAAAAUUAGUUCUCAAUAAUAAAAAUAUGAUAUUUUAGGACAUUUAUUGAUGAUCAUUAGAAAUAAAGGAAUAAAAGGGAUACAAAAUAAAACCAUGUGCCCAUGGCUAAUCAGCCUACUUUAAAAUCCCUGAGCUUACCACCACCAAGGUUGCCGACAGGACACCAAAAGAUUGAGCCCUGCCAACCCACUGGCUAAUUUCCCCUGUCUACAGGAAGUACGUGAUGACAGGAAGUCAGUGGGCUCCCAGGAAAUGUAGUAUUUUUAGGGUAAAAGAUUUCCAAUUACACAGUGCCUUAGAGGAUGUGAUGUGAUGUUCUCCCUUGCUACAAGAGGUCUCAGCUUGUUCCUACAUAUUACAUGUCAGUCAAUUGUUGCUUCCCUCUCUCUGGUAGUUGCUCCUAUUAUUUUCAGAAGUCUAGGAAUGGAAAUUUUCUCUCUGCAACCCCUUUUCCUGGUUGCUGCCAUCUCUAGGGCCCUAUGCUUUGUUCCUCCCCUUAGGUCCACAUGAUUUCCUUUCUAGGAAAUCCAAAGUGGCCUCUGAACCUAUCAUCUUUGGGUUUGAAUAGAUUCCCUAGAAAAGGCUUAUAAGAAUUUAAAAUUUAGAUUUUUAUGCUAAUAUGAGAAUUCUAUAGUAAUAUUGUGGCAGCUGAUUUAAGAUAUUAUAAUUUAAAUCAAAAUGACUUUUAGUAGCUUUAUUUACAAAGAGGUAGAAAAGCUGAAAGUGGGAAAAUGUAGGAAGAAGGUAGAGAAUUAUCUAGCCUAUAACCCUAAAGGCUGCUCUGGUGUGGGGCUUAGCCUCAGCAGGGCUUCACCACAUCACUUGUCCAUCCUGCUCCCCAAGGCAGAGUUUCCAAAGGUGAAAUUCCCAGCAGAAGUCCUCCAAAGAAGCAUUCCAGAAGUCAAGAUCCAAAAGUGAACCCAAAGUCCCAAGACCAAGAUCCAAGGUGAUGGUCCCUUGGACAGGAAGUUCAGGACUUUUUACAGUCCUUUUUCCACAUCACUUCCUGUCCCUCCACUUUAUAGGAACCAAUUGCAGUCUUUCAAUUUGCCUAGCACUGCCUAAGGGGUGGUCAGUGGCUUCUGGAGUUGUCACCUACUCUGGAAAGUGACUUGUGAACUCUCCUACUUAGUGACUGGUAAGGUACUCCAAGUUCUUGUUUGAUUAAUUUAAAAGUUGCUGAUUGAAAGACAAAGAAAGUUUGAUUUACUCUUCACAGACUGCAUAGAAAAGCAGACUCUCCCUCCCUGGUGACCAUAUUUUAUCCUUGGCCUCUGCUUGGUCUCCACUUUCUCUGGACCUCUGAUCUCCGAUAAACAUGUCGGAUCCCUUUUGUAAACCCAAGUUAAAGGUAAAUAACCAUAUGGAAUGUUAGUCAGGACUGGUGAGGUGAAUAAGAAGCUUUGGUUCUGCCUUUUAUGAGAGUGAGACCCUAUGAGAGGUGUAGACACCUUUAUUAACAACAAAGAAUAUUUCUGGUGGGGUGUAGGAAACACCCUUGAUCUAGAGAUUUAUUGAUCCAUUGAUCUCAUAAAAGGAUGAUUUGGUUACUGUACAUCUGAGCCAUAUUCUUGGGAAAAGAAUAUUCUGGGGAAUAGCUUUCUUGGGUGAAAUAGUUCACACAACCACCCAUUGUUGGGAAGAGACAUCAGUUUGUAAAACUGACCAGGGCUCGAGUGAGGAGGGAAUUUAGAGGUCAUCUUGUCCAAACUCCUCAUCUUCUAAAGCAAGAAACUGGGUUCAGUGAAGAUUGGCCGAAGGCAGGUGUAGGAUCUUUGUCCUACUAAUGGGCUCCUUGGAAAGAAGGGAUCAGUUGGAGAAACUGGUUUGAAAGACAGAGGGGGAGUCACUUGGGUUUGAAACUAGACAAGAUAGCAGAGAUCACAGGCAUGGUGGGGCUCGGUUUAAAAACAGAGGAAACAGGAGUUUAGCACACUGGAAAGUUUGACAAGAGAAUCUCUCUGGUCUUUUUUAUCUUUUAUCUGAAAAAUGCUAUUUUUGCUGAUUCUAUGGAACUUUCUAACUUUUGGUAGUUCUGAAAAAAUUGCCUAUGGCUGUAUAUUUUUUCCUCCCGGAGCUGGGGUGGCUGCCUGACCCCUCCUAUUUCUUUUUGAGUCUAAGUCUCAGUGAUCUCAGACCACACCACAUUUUGCAUCCUUUAUUUGUGCUUUCUCUCUGAUCAUCCCUGACCUGAUUCUCAGGUUUACUCUUCUCAGAUCUCUCAAGUUGACUCUGGAGACUACAGUCUUUUCUGAUCUCAAUCAACCAACAAGCAUUCAUCGAGCAUCAACUCUGUACUAGGCACAGGCGAUACAAAGAGAUCAAUGAAAAUGCUCUCCCCCGCCUUGCUCCCUGCCUUCAAGAAGCUUACAUUCUACAAUAUGCUUACAUAUAAAUUUAUAUCAUAUUCUGGCUUGACCUGGUCCAAUGGUUUUAUUGGCAUGUGGCUCUCCCAGGAAGGGAUCUCCCUCUUCCAAAAAGUAUCCUCACCAGUGCUAUAAAUGACAGUUUUAGAAAUUUGCCUUGGGUAUUGAGAAAUUCUUUGGCUUGCUUAGGAUCACAUAGACUGUGUCUAAAGCAUGAAGAAAGCAGGUGUGGGAGUGGGUCUUGUGCUUUAGGUUUGACACCCCCUUUGAUCAUCAGUUCUUAGAGAUUGAUUCAGGAUGUAGUGCACUAGUGGGUUUGGAGUCAAAGGACCAGAUUUUUAAACCUGGUCCUGUUACUUAGUAUCUGAGUGACCUUGGAUAAGUCACUUAACUUUACUGGGCUUUAGUUUUCUUAUUUGUAAAAUGAAGGGGUUGGACUAGAUGGUCACUUAGAUUCCUUCCAGCUUCAGAUCUGUAUCUUUCUUAUUCCUUCUUCCACAAUUCCCUUAGUGCCUAGACCUAUGCUGACAUAUAGGAGUGCCUUAACACAUUUCUGUUAAUUUAGCAAUUGGUUGUUGUAUUCUAGAUUGUUUUUCUAGUAAGAGUGAUGAAUUUAUACUGAUCCAACCAUCCACCUGCAGAGACAGCUGAGUUCAAACCUGGCCUUAGAUAAUCACUAAUUGAGUAACUAGACCCUGGGAAAGUCAUUUAACUCUGUUUGCCUCAGUUUCCUCAACUAUAAAAUGAAGAUAAAAAUAGUACUUACCUUGCAGAGUUGUGAGGAUAUUUAUAGAGUGCUCAGCUCAGCUCAGCUACUUCCACCUAGCAGAUACUUAAUAAAUAUCUAUUCUCAGCUUCUUCCCUCUUCCUAUCUUGCUCUAGCUCCCAGUGACCAAAGAUGGGCAUUUUCAGGUUGGCUACUGUAACAGUUAAGUUAGUUUCUCCACUAAAAGUAUUUAAACUGACUGUACCGCCUACUUGGUCUCUCUGCUUCUGCUUCUAAGCACACACGUCUCUCAGGAUGUAGUAAGUGAAACUGAAUGGGCUUGCUUAUUGAUUUGUAUCUUUGAUUUCUAGUAAUCUUUGGUGAACCUCUAAAAAUAUAAUACUUUUAGUAGAGAAACUAAUUUAAAUGUUACACUACUCAGGCUAGGUUUUCUGAGCAUGGAUCAGAGUAAAACUCUUAUUGAAAAAAGCUCAUGAGAAGAGGAAAUGUGAUCUUAGCCCUGUCAAUGCCAUGCUUCAAUCAACCAAAUGCUCUAGCAUGUAUGUCUUCCUUGCUUAAUUAAUAAGCAGUGGAACACUAGAGAAGCACCAUCCCUUCUCUUCCUCAAAGCUUCUCACUUAGUACUUCCUAUACUUGUCAGUGGUCAUCCACCAACCAAGGAGGUCUCCCAUUUAAACUGUAGCCUUGGAAAUGCAGCCCUGUGCAUCAUCUAUGGGGAGUUAUGUAAAGCAUCACUCAGGCAAUGUAAUGGAGCAGAGCUUCGAGUUCAGGGCCAGCCUUGCUAAUGGCUUCAGGGGUCCUCAGCCAGGUGUGAUGAUGAAGGCAUAAAUGAGUGAUGGAAGACAGCUAUGUGUAUCAGCCUGGGGCCAAGCUUUGCAUGGAACUGCUUCACCAGGCCCAGGGUUGGCUUUUAUUUUUAUACCCCAAUGAAUACAUAUUUUUUGGCACACAGUCACAUUAUUCAACAUACAUGUUCAAAGCAUAUAAUAGGAAUCUUUUGAUUAACAUUCUGUGAUCAUUCUAUAUACUUAUAUUGUUACUAUUGAUUUUGACAACAUACACAAAGCUUUUGUAAAAGAUAAAUGAUUUCAUCACAGGUGGUGUAGAGGUCAGUUUUUUUUUUCAUUAACUUGUGAGGUGCUUGAGCUUGUGGACAAUCAAAGAAAAUAAUUUGUUACUUUUUAAAAUUUGUUACUUUUAAUAAAAAUAGAUAAUCAAUCAAAAGUUCUAGAAGAUAAUCAACAAACAUUGUAGCCAAGUUGAGGGAUCAAAGGGGUAAUAGAAACACAAAUUAGUUUUAAUAUUGGACUAAUCUUAUUUCAGUAGUUCAUGGGGAGUUUCCAAGAUGGAUUUUGGUUGGUACACCAAGUCAGAGGCAUGGUGUACAAGCCUCUCUCUAGGAUGAUUGAUGCACUGGCUUAGGAGAAUUUGUUCUGUGCAUGGGAGUGGGGAAUUUCUGAACACAGCUUUGUUAGAAGUUAUAUGCAUAAGCAGAAGUUAACUCAUCAUAGUCUUUAGGGUUUGGUUUUGUAAGUAUGAUCUUUUGGUGGUAUUCUGGGGGAAUAAUGUGGAGCAUUAAUAUUAAUCCUGUAAAUAUUUUUCUCUCAUAUUAUUUUUUCCUGAAGCUAGGGAGAGAAUAAUAUUCAUAGCAAUUCCAAUAGAAAGGGAACUUAGUAGGAGAAGUCACAUAAAAGGGGGGGCUAAGUGGGUGUCAUAUCUUUCCAAGGAGCCACUUUGUGGUCUCCUGGUUUCUACGAGUGACCAUGUCAAAACAUCGUGGCUUGACAGCCCCCUAGUAGAGCACCAGAGUCCUUUUAGAUUCCAGGAGACCUUAUCCCAGUCCCUCUUGUACUGGCAGAACAGGUCCCAAGAGUGAGCCUGGCUACACCUUCUUCUCAGAGUUCUCAGUGACAGGGAAUCGGCUUUUCCCCACUCAUUUUGCUACCCUAGGAUGGCAGCAAGGCUUGAGUCUCCCAAAUACCUUCAGAGAUAAUGGUGAUUUAAACCUUAAUGGAAAGAGAAAAACCAGCUUCUACCUUCCAGGCCUGUGCGUAGCCCACUGAACCACAGGACCUUGCAGCAACAUGUAAUUGAAAUACAGAAAUAGGAAGGUAGAAGACAAAAGCUGGAUCCAGGGGAAUUAGGUUUGGCCUUAGAUAGUUAACAGUGUUUUAGAGUCCAGAUUACAUAGUUUGUAGCUGUGCAAAUUUUGUUCCUUCAGAUUUAUCCAACAGCUUGAAGGGAGCUUCUUAAAACUCAUGGCAUUUGUACGUUGGUACCUUCAUCUAUUGGCAUUAAAAUAAUUCUACUGAUGCCUUCUUAUUUUAUGUCACAGAUAUUUCCUGAUGUAUUGCUCCUUCAUUUAUCCUCUUCCCCCUUAGAAUUCUAGAAUAAAGAAAAAUGAGUUAAGCAAAACUGACUAAUAGCAUGGUCAUGUCUGACAGCAUAUACAGCAUUCUGUCUCCAGUAUCUCUCUCAAAAGAAGCAUGCAUUUCCUCAUUUGCUUUCUGAAAUCCCAAUUGGUUGUUGUAUAUAAUUUGAUUUCAGCUUCCUUUUAGUAUUGCUUUUGUUCACAUUAUUGUAGCAUCUUCUCUUGGUCCUUUCUUUUUCAGUCUCUAUCAGUACAAAGACAUCUUCUCAGGCUUCUCUGAAUUCCUCAUUUUUUAUCCUUUUUUUUGUUGACCAAUCACUGUCCAUUAUAGCCUAUGUCUCUGUUCAUUCAUUCUCCAGUUGAUGGGUACCCACUUUGCCUUAAGUAUUUUGUUUCCAUGAAAGUACCAUCUGCUGCUGUUGGUAGCACUAACUGAACAAUUGUUGUUGUCGUUUUUAAGAAUGUGAGGCAUUUUCCAUGUGUGAUAUGUGUGACUAGAAUCAUAAUCUAAAACUGCUUCUGGCGACAUCUUGGUUUUAUUAUAUUACAUUAUUUCCCACAAGUUAAAUACUUUCCAAAUUCCCUUGAAAGUUUGACUGCGGUAUUUCUUCUUAUCAAGACAGGAGUCUCCUUUCUAGUCCAAGUCAUCUUCCCCUUACUCAGGGGAGGAGACAGUAUGGAAAGUGUUGGAAUCAAAAAACCUCAAAAAUGUGCAUGAAAAGCUUCAUCUAAUCAUCUGAAAAAUGAGAAGCCUGAGCAAAAGCAGGACUGUAACUUACCGGAUGACCAUAACAACAUCAAGGAAGAUGACUUUGAAUUCAGAACUUGGACUAAUGCAAUGACCAGGCAUUUCUUCAGAAGGCUGAUGGCAAAGCACCCAUCCUACCUCCUGGCAGAGAUUUGAUGGACAAAAGACAUACACAUAACCAAUGUAUUGAUUGCUUUUUCUUGGUUGGACUUACUUGUAUCCAGGGAGGGUAAAAACAAGAAGGCAGGAGGAAGCUAAAAAGUAAACAGGACAAUUUUGUUAUUAUUGCAAUAAAUUUAAUACACACUUCAGUCUCAUGCAAUCCUUCAUGUUUGUCAAGUUUGCAAUAAAAAUGAAAUUAAGAAAUAGUAGAUGUUUUUAGCUGGGAAGUUCAGGAACUUGUUUUAAAACCUAUU